RNAcentral lists this long non-coding RNA (574 nucleotides) under Mytilus galloprovincialis (Mediterranean mussel). The record is from RNAcentral. Lineage: Eukaryota; Metazoa; Mollusca; Bivalvia; Mytilida; Mytilidae.
GGUACUGUAAAUCUGACCCCUUGUUUGAUGAGAGUGUCACACUCCCUGCGCCUCUAUUUGCUGUGCAGAAAGUAUAUGUAGAAACCUAAUAUCUUUACUGUAUAUCUGACUGCAUUUUAGAGAAAUUUUGCAACAACUCUUUGAUCGUGCUAAGGUGGUUGGUGAAAGGUAUAAUUUCUGAAAGAGAGACGAAAGAUACCAGAGGGACAGUAAAACUCAUAAAUCGAAAAUAAACUGACAAUGCCAUGGCUAAAAAAUGAAAAAGACAAACAGACAAACAAUAGUACACAUGACACAACAUAGAAAACUAAAGAAUAAACAACACAAACCCCACCAAAAUCUAGAGGUGACCUCAGGUGCUUCGGAAGGGUAAGCAGAUCCUGCUUCACAUGUGGCACCCGUUGAUUGCUGAACUGAUAAUUGCUCUCUCCCUUAAAAUGUCUUAUUUUCCAUAGGUAGUUCAAAUUUGUCUCUUCAUCCAAGUCCAUAAAUAUAUUGCACUUAUCUUUAAAAUACUAUUUUGCUUUUGUCCUGAAUAUGCAUUAAAUAUUCGCCAAUGCAAGCUAAGCAAACA